Molecule: long non-coding RNA, 438 nt
Organism: Chenopodium quinoa (quinoa)
Lineage: Eukaryota; Viridiplantae; Streptophyta; Magnoliopsida; Caryophyllales; Amaranthaceae
Exons: 2
Source: RefSeq, a predicted model, not a curated record
CUCCCGCAGGACAUCAGAAAACCCCGAAACAGAAGGUUCACUGGAAUUUUUAUUCAACUCACAAGGACCCAAAGUAUUUUCCAAACCCGGAAAAGUUUGAGCCUUCAAGAUUUGAAGCCACAAUGCAGGCAAAUACAUUUGUACCGUAUGGAAAAGGGCAACAUAUGUGUUAUGGUAACGAGUAUGCUCGAAUUAAGAUCCUCGUAUUUUUGCACAACGUUAUAACUCGAUUUAGAUUGUCAAAAGCUAAUCCUCAAGAGAAAUUAAUCUAUACUCCAGAUCCAGUAUCUGUUGAAGGCCUCCGAAUUCGCCUUCUACCUCAUUAGAAUUGCUAGAGAAUAGAGGUAUAAUAACACCAUAUCAUGUUAUAGAUUGUUUAUGUAUCUUCUAAUUGAUAUUAUCAUGCUGAAAUAAAACCUUCUAAUUGAUAUCUUUUUC